AGCGUACACGGUGGAUGCCUAGGCAAUCAGAGGCGAUGAAGGACGUGCUAAUCUGCGAAAAGCGUCGGUAAGGUGAUAUGAACCGUUAUACCCGACGAUAUCCGAAUGGGGAAACCCAGUAUCCAAUGGAUACUAUCAUUAACUGAAUCCAUAGGUUAAUGAGGCGAACCGGGAGAACUGAAACAUCUCAGUACCCCGAGGAAAAGAAAUCAACCGAGAUUCCCCUAGUAGCGGCGAGCGAACGGGGAGCAGCCCAGAGUCUUAAUCAAUAACAGUGUCAGGAGAACGGUCUGGAAAGUCCGGCAGUAAAGGGUGAUAGCCCCGUAUCUGAAGAUGCUGUUGUUGUGAACUCGACGAGUAGGGCGGGACACGUGUUAUCCUGUCUGAAUAUGGGGGGACCAUCCUCCAAGGCUAAAUACUCCUGAUUGACCGAUAGUGAACCAGUACCGUGAGGGAAAGGCGAAAAGAACCCCGGCGAGGGGAGUGAAAAAGAACCUGAAACCGUGUACGUACAAGCAGUAGGAGCCUCUUUAUGGGGUGACUGCGUACCUUUUGUAUAAUGGGUCAGCGACUUAUAUUCUGUAGCAAGGUUAACCGUAUAGGGGAGCCGUAGGGAAACCGAGUCUUAACUGGGCGAAUGAGUUGCAGGGUAUAGACCCGAAACCCGGUGAUCUAUCCAUGGGCAGGUUGAAGGUUGGGUAACACUAACUGGAGGACCGAACCGACUAAUGUUGAAAAAUUAGCGGAUGACUUGUGGAUGGGGGUGAAAGGCCAAUCAAACCGGGAGAUAGCUGGUUCUCCCCGAAAGCUAUUUAGGUAGCGCCUCGUGAACUCAUCUUCGGGGGUAGAGCACUGUUUCGACUAGGGGGUCAUCCCGACUUACCAACUCGAUGCAAACUGCGAAUACCGAAGAAUGUUAUCACGGGAGACACACGGCGGGUGCUAACGUCCGUCGUGAAGAGGGAAACAACCCAGACCGCCAGCUAAGGUCCCAAAGUCAUGGUUAAGUGGGAAACGAAGUGGGAAGGCUCAGACAGCCAGGAUGUUGGCUUAGAAGCAGCCAUCAUUUAAAGAAAGCGUAAUAGCUCACUGGUCGAGUCGGCCCGCGCGGAAGAUGUAACGGGGCUAAACCAUGCACCGAAGCUGCGGCAGCGACACAAAGUGUUGUUGGGUAGGGGAGCGUUCUGUAAGCCUGCGAAGGUGUACUGUGAGGUAUGCUGGAGGUAUCAGAAGUGCGAAUGCUGACAUAAGUAACGAUAAUGCGGGUGAAAAACCCGCACGCCGGAAGACCAAGGGUUCCUGUCCAACGUUAAUCGGGGCAGGGUGAGUCGACCCCUAAGGCGAGGCUGAAAAGCGUAGUCGAUGGGAAACGGGUUAAUAUUCCCGUACUGGUGGUAACUGCGAUGGGGGAACGGAGAAGGCUAGGUUGUCCGGGCGACGGUCGUCCCGGUUCAAGCAGGUAGGCAGAGUGAUUAGGCAAAUCCGGUCACUUAAUGCUGAGAUGUGAUGACGAACCACUAAGGUGGUGAAGCAAUUGAUGCCCCGCUUCCAGGAAAAGCCUCUAAGCUUCAGGUUACCAACAAUCGUACCCCAAACCGACACAGGUGGUCAGGUAGAGAAUACUCAGGCGCUUGAGAGAACUCGGGUGAAGGAACUAGGCAAAAUGGUGCCGUAACUUCGGGAGAAGGCACGCUGGCGGUAGGUAAAGUCCCUUGCGGACGGCGCUGAAGCCAGUCGAAGAUACCAGCUGGCUGCAACUGUUUAUUAAAAACACAGCACUGUGCAAACACGAAAGUGGACGUAUACGGUGUGACGCCUGCCCGGUGCUGGAAGGUUAAUUGAUGGGGUCAGCCGCAAGGCGAAGCUCCUGAUCGAAGCCCCAGUAAACGGCGGCCGUAACUAUAACGGUCCUAAGGUAGCGAAAUUCCUUGUCGGGUAAGUUCCGACCUGCACGAAUGGCGUAAUGAUGGCCAGGCUGUCUCCACCCGAGACUCAGUGAAAUUGAACUCGCUGUGAAGAUGCAGUGUACCCGCGGCAAGACGGAAAGACCCCGUGAACCUUUACUAUAGCUUGACACUGAACAUUGAGCCUUGAUGUGUAGGAUAGGUGGGAGGCUUUGAAGUGUGGACGCCAGUCUGCAUGGAGCCAACCUUGAAAUACCACCCUUUAACGUUUGAUGUUCUAACCUAGGCCCAUAAACUGGGUCGGGGACCGUGUCUGGUGGGUAGUUUGACUGGGGCGGUCUCCUCCUAAAGAGUAACGGAGGAGCACGAAGGUUGGCUAAGCAUGGUCGGACAUCAUGCGGUUAGUGCAAAGGCAUAAGCCAGCUUGACUGCGAGAGUGACGGCUCGAGCAGGUACGAAAGUAGGUCUUAGUGAUCCGGUGGUUCUGAAUGGAAGGGCCAUCGCUCAACGGAUAAAAGGUACUCCGGGGAUAACAGGCUGAUACCGCCCAAGAGUUCAUAUCGACGGCGGUGUUUGGCACCUCGAUGUCGGCUCAUCACAUCCUGGGGCUGAAGUAGGUCCCAAGGGUAUGGCUGUUCGCCAUUUAAAGUGGUACGCGAGCUGGGUUUAGAACGUCGUGAGACAGUUCGGUCCCUAUCUGCCGUGGGCGUUGGAAGAUUGAGAGGGGUUGCUCCUAGUACGAGAGGACCGGAGUGAACGCACCACUGGUGUUCGGGUUGUCAUGCCAAUGGCAUUGCCCGGUAGCUAAGUGCGGAAGAGAUAACCGCUGAAAGCAUCUAAGCGGGAAACUUGCCUCGAGAUGAGUCUUCCCUGUCNNNNNNNNNNNNNUAAAGGAACGUUUAAGACUAAGACGUUGAUAGGCUGGGUGUGUAAGCGUAGCGAUACGUUGAGCUAACCAGUACUAAUGAACCGUGAGGCUUAACC
RNAcentral lists this ribosomal RNA (2888 nucleotides) under Proteus mirabilis. Its description in RNAcentral is "bacterial LSU rRNA". It matches the Rfam family "Bacterial large subunit ribosomal RNA". Lineage: Bacteria; Pseudomonadati; Pseudomonadota; Gammaproteobacteria; Enterobacterales; Morganellaceae. The record is from RNAcentral.